This is a long non-coding RNA of Podarcis muralis (Common wall lizard), 809 nucleotides long. RefSeq lists it as uncharacterized. Lineage: Eukaryota; Metazoa; Chordata; Lepidosauria; Squamata; Lacertidae. The record is from RefSeq and is a predicted model, not a curated record.
GGAGGUCGCAGCGUCUGACUCCAGCGUCAUCCGUGCUGAGACUAUAGGGAUCAGUGAAACAGCUGCUUCUCCGAGACUUAACUAGCUGCUAUAGGUCUUCUUCUCUUCCUGUCAUUGCCCUGAACCUUCUUCCCAGCAUUCCUUUCCUCGCUUCUUAUUUCUUUUACUGUCUGCCUCGCCCUGGCUAUCUCUCCCAAGCAGCAAAACCAAAGGCAAACAAUGUCGCUCAGAAUCAGAAGAGCUAUGCUCGCCCAUCAUCAACAGCCAUUCCAGUUGCCUCCAAGCUCCAUCAGCUCAAGACCAGCUAACUUUCAAAUUAGAAAGCAUCAUACAAUGAAAAAGAAAUUGGAUGGAUUCUUGGAUUCUCUGGUAUCUACUGCCAUGCUGAAUGUACUGUCCACUAGUGAAUGAAAAUACACUCCUGUGCAAAUCUACCACACCAAAGAUGUCAUACCAAACAAUGAAAUAUUUCAGAGCAGCCGAUGAGACCUUCACUAAAUUUGCUUCUAAUGACCCUUCACUAUCUCAGGCUCCAAAAUGUAUGACCUUUCAGCAAGUUGUACACAUGCACACAGGCCUCUGAGCCCCAUGUUGCAUUCUGGAAAAAUUAAGAUGGCAUUGGCUGCGCUUUUCUUACAAGUCGCAGGCAGCCCACUGCCAUUAUUUAUUUAGUUGCUCAAAAAUAUUUUUUACCCAAAGGUUCCAACAACAGAAUGCACAAUUAUGAAAACAGAUAAAACCAUUGCAAUUAUAAAACAAGCAAAACUGUUCCAAAUGUUCCAGACAGAAGAAAAUACAAAUUCAGCAAG